This 329-nucleotide long non-coding RNA is filed under the name Monodelphis domestica (gray short-tailed opossum). RNAcentral's name for it is "lncRNA (ENSMODG00000033492.2)". Lineage: Eukaryota; Metazoa; Chordata; Mammalia; Didelphimorphia; Didelphidae. The record is from RNAcentral.
GGUAAAAUUGAAAUGCAACUCAAUGUUUCUUUUGUUUUCUUUUGCCUUUGAAUAGCAACUCCAGAUGUUUCCUGACCCCAAAGCAGCUUCAGUGUUGGACUAGAGAUCCAGGAGACUGAAUCCGCACACUAACUUGUGUGUAAUUGAGUUACUUGGACAUCUUGACCUGAAGAAUCUUGCAUGAUUCUGAGAUUCCUACACUUUAGAUGCACAUAGCCCAUGUUGACAUGAGAGCAGUGCUGAUUGUUGGGGGCUGCCAGCUGUGCACUUCAGAGAGAACUUUGGGGUCUCAAGCAAGACAGAAAGGUGAUUCUUCUGUGAUUCUCUGA